Molecule: long non-coding RNA, 1534 nt
Filed under: Nicotiana tabacum (common tobacco)
Lineage: Eukaryota; Viridiplantae; Streptophyta; Magnoliopsida; Solanales; Solanaceae
Description: long non-coding RNA (NTAB_LNC013631)
Source: RNAcentral
AGAGGUGACACCUUUCAAGUUCGAUAUUGCAGAUCAAAUGACACAAGAACAAGACUUUGAUAGCAUUUAAAUAGUGUUGCUCAAUUCAAGGAUGGUACAAAAUCGCCUUUUCUAUCACUUUUUAUUGGUCCAAGCGUUAUUUUAUACCAGAGCAAGCUACUCAAUUAGCUCUUACACAAAUUUUUAGCAUGCAAGAAAAAAAAAGGAGUGAACAUGGAGAAAAGGAAGAAAAAACAUGGAGUACUAACUAAUUCCUUUUUGUAAGUAUUCAUAGGCUAGCAUUUAGAAAAAAUCAAGACAUCUGCCUCCAAAUUGUUUUUCAUAGCAUUCCAUUUUACCCAUUCUUUGCACACUUUGCUCCAGUUUUCAGAUGCUUAUAUCGCAUUUUCCUCCAUUUUCUCCAAGUCUUUGAGGUGCUUGUUGUAAGUGGGAUAGUUCCUUCUUACAUCUGAACAGCAGCACAUAUUCGUUAACUGCUAUAGCAAUACCCACAAGACCAAUUGUCUUAUUUAGAAUAGACAUGUUUGAGUUGAAACCCUGUUCAAAGUAAACAUUAAUAUCAGGGGAAAAGAAAGCCAUUAGCUGUCAAGAAUAGACUCUUGUUGAGAAUAUUGUAAACAAAGAUUGAACUCUUGCCAAAUGAAAAAACAGAGUCGGUGUAAAUGACUUUAAAUACGGUGGUUCAAUGAUCUGUAAGCACUGAAAUAACAAUACUAAUCCUCAAAAGAUGCAAUGAAGGACGUUAAUCGCUCCAAAAUCCCAGGAAGUUAUCACACUAAUUAAUGUCCCAAGAAAGCAAAAGAAAAACUCUGGAAGAACUAUAAUUAAAUUCAGGUGCACAAAAACUGGACAAAAUGAAAAUGAACCAGACCGUUUCAGGUUCAAUCACAAAGAUAAUUCAGCGGCUUACUAGUCACAAGGUCAUAGAAUUUAGUUCAAAACAAUUGAAUUAUAUGUCUGACAGAGAGAAAUGAAAGAUUUAUUUUAGUUACAAUUGAAUUAUAUGUCAAGACCUUCAGAAACUUGCUAAACCGAGCAAAUGCAUAAAUAAAUCAAACAAAUUAAACAGACUUUCAUCAUUGUCAUGCUAACAUACAUAUUAUAAUGGUUAACUGAAACAGAAACUAAUGACAAAUAAUUUAGGAUUUUUUUUUCCUUUUAGAAAAUAAACUAGGGUUUCUAAGAAUAAAGAAGGAAUCUAACCUCUGGGAUCGACUUUUGCUCGUUCGUGGGUUUUCUAGAAUGACAAACAUAUCAAAAUUCUGAAAAGUUAAUGCUUUAUAGGGAACCUGGAAAAAUGGAAGGCCAUGAUGGAGCGAGCUGGCGCUCAAACCGACGCCCAACAUUAAUCCAGCUUUCGCAUCUGUCAUGAAUGAUUUUCUCAGAUGAGUGAGUGGGGCGUUCUUUGGGGCUGUACAAGAGUAUUCAGAGAGGUUUGUGUAUUUGUUUGGUGACGUGGAGGAGAGAGUGGAGAAACGGGGACCAAUGGGUGAUACGUGGGGGACUGUGGUGAGCCUUGCUCUCACCGGAAAAG